AUUGAACGCUGGCGGCAUGCUUUACACAUGCAAGUCGAACGGCAGCGGGGUAGUGCUUGCACUACUGCCGGCGAGUGGCGAACGGGUGAGUAAUAUAUCGGAACGUACCGAGUAAUGGGGGAUAACCAAUCGAAAGAUUGGCUAAUACCGCAUACGUCCUGAGGGAGAAAGCGGGGGAUCGCAAGACCUCGCGUUAUUCGAGCGGCCGAUAACUGAUUAGCUAGUUGGUGGGGUAAAGGCCUACCAAGGCGACGAUCAGUAGCGGGUCUGAGAGGACGAUCCGCCACACUGGGACUGAGACACGGCCCAGACUCCUACGGGAGGCAGCAGUGGGGAAUUUUGGACAAUGGGGGCAACCCUGAUCCAGCCAUGCCGCGUGUAUGAAGAAGGCCUGCGGGUUGUAAAGUACUUUUGUUAGGGAAGAAAAGGGAAGUGCUAAUACCACUUUUUGCUGACGGUACCUAAAGAAUAAGCACCGGCUAACUACGU
RNAcentral lists this ribosomal RNA (489 nucleotides) under uncultured bacterium. RNAcentral describes it as "partial 16S ribosomal RNA". It matches the Rfam family "Bacterial small subunit ribosomal RNA", at positions 30 to 506 of the family's 1533-position model. The record is from RNAcentral.